UUUCUAACUAUAACCAAAGAUUCAUAUACUUUAGCCAAUUUCCUCAUAUAUAAAUGGGAAAAUGUCAAAAAAAUCACGAACUUUCAAAUUUAGGACGAUUCAAUCUUGAAUUUCACGGAAGACAAAUAAAUCGUAAAGUUUUUGUUCACUUUCUAAAUAAAUGAUAAAGUUUUUGUUGAAUUGUCAUUGGAGUCAUGUCGUUGAGUAGGUUAACAUAAUUAUUUUACGGCGUUAAUGUCUCGUUUAUCUCCUUUGUUAGAACAAAACAACAUUGUUUAUUGCAACUCGUUUUGUCCGUUAAAACAAAUUUAAACCCUAAAUCCCCAAAUCGAUUUCAAUAUCUGCGAUUUUGAGGUCAAAGUAAGUCUGUGAUUUUGAGAUAAUGAAAUCGAUUUGAGAAUUUAAGGUUUCUAUUUGUUUCAAAAGACAAAGCGACGUCGUUUUAUUUUUUGGGCAAAGACUUAAUUACUCUCUCUCUUUA
RNAcentral lists this small RNA (481 nucleotides) under Arabidopsis thaliana (thale cress). RNAcentral's name for it is "ATSL115090". The record is from RNAcentral. Lineage: Eukaryota; Viridiplantae; Streptophyta; Magnoliopsida; Brassicales; Brassicaceae.